This 379-nucleotide unclassified non-coding RNA is filed under the name uncultured bacterium. RNAcentral's name for it is "contains 16S-23S intergenic spacer region". The record is from RNAcentral.
UCCUUGUUUCCAAGGCAGUCCCAUUAGAGUGCUUCCGAAGAAUAGCAACUAAUGGCAAGGGUUGCGCUCGUUAAAGGACUUAACCUUACAUCUCACGACACGAGCUGACGACAGCCAUGCAGCACCUGUGUAUCUGUCCAUGUAAACAUGGAAAGAACUAUUUCUAGUCCGGUCAAAUACAUGUCAAACCUAGGUAAGGUUCCUCGCGUAUUGUCGAAUUAAACCACAUGUUCCACCGCUUGUGCGGACCCCCGUCAAUUUCUUUGAGUUUUAGUCUUGCGACCGUAAUCCCCAGGCGGAUCACUUAACGCGUUAGCUACGGCACCGAUCUCACGAAUGAAACCGACACCUAGUGAUCAUCGUUUACGGCGUGGACUAC